This 417-nucleotide ribosomal RNA is filed under the name uncultured bacterium. RNAcentral's name for it is "bacterial SSU rRNA". It matches the Rfam family "Bacterial small subunit ribosomal RNA", at positions 355 to 787 of the family's 1533-position model. The record is from RNAcentral.
UGGGGAAUAUUGCACAAUGGGCGAAAGCCUGAUGCAGCAACGCCGCGUGAGCGAUGAAGGCCUUCGGGUCGUAAAGCUCUGUCCUCAAGGAAGAUAAUGACGGUACUUGAGGAGGAAGCCCCGGCUAACUACGUGCCAGCAGCCGCGGUAAUACGAAGGGUGCAAGCGUUACUCGGAAUUACUGGGCGUAAAGCGUGCGUAGGUGGUGGUUUAAGUCUGUUGUGAAAGCCCUGGGCUCAACCUGGGAAUUGCAGUGGAUACUGGAUCACUAGAGUGUGGUAGAGGGUGGCGGAAUUCCCGGUGUAGCAGUGAAAUGCGUAGAGAUCGGGAGGAACACCCGUGGCGAAGGCGGCCACCUGGGGCCAACACUGACACUGAGGCACGAAAGCGUGGGGAGCAAAACAGGAUUAGAUACCC